GAUCAAUCUAGAUAUUGAAAAUAAAUGAACUAUGCUUUGGCAUUAUAAUAUCGACCUUCAUUAAGGAACAGUUAUUUGAAACUCACUAUUAUAUAUAUCAUGAAAAUGUUAAGUGCGUUAUAUCGUUUCUCCUUCAUAACCACAGUAGAAAUGUCUUACAAGUUUUAAUACCAGGAAAAAUAAUGUAUCUGUCUCCUCUGUAAUCCAUAGGCAUUCAUUUUAUGGAGCUGUACAUCCUGACAACUAGGAAGAUAAGAAACUAUUUUAUUGGGAGGCCUCGGUGGCUCAGCAGGGCCUCAGAUAAAGCUAGAAGUGACUGAGAAGGCACGAAAGCAGAGCAUAGCUUUGGAUGGACUCAUGAAUGAGAGGAAGAGGAGGAAAAGAAGUUGGAAAUAACGUUAUUAUUCAGUUCCACGAACUGGGCUUCUUGGAAUCCAAUGCUGGAAAAGACCUUAAAAAUAAUCAAGUCCCACUUCAUAGUGAGAACACAGAGGUUCAGGAUUACACAGUGAGUGGCAGAGCCACUUAGAAAUAUCUAGCUAGAAUCCAUCACAUUGUGUAAAGACAAUAAAUUAAAGAACUUUAAACACAACUCUAUCUUUGGAAUUGAGGUAGGUGAUUAAAGACAAGAAUUUCCUAACUUAUUCUAUUUUAAAAUUUUAAUUACUUUAUUUCACUUUCAGGCUCUAAAUAUUUACUGAUUAAUUAGGAUAGAAUAGGCUACUGGCUGAAUCCAGAAUAUUUACAAUAGGGAAGAUAUUUUAGGACAGCUAUUUAGGCAUCAUUUAGGCACACUGAAAGCAAACACCAAGCGUAAAAAUACUCUCUGCAGGAUAGGAAUCCCUGGCACCCAUCCUGUCCUGGAGCCAUACUUCCCCUCUGAGACUCUAGCAGGUG
RNAcentral lists this long non-coding RNA (897 nucleotides) under Canis lupus familiaris (dog). RNAcentral describes it as "lncRNA (ENSCAFG00000055265.1)". The record is from RNAcentral. Lineage: Eukaryota; Metazoa; Chordata; Mammalia; Carnivora; Canidae.